This 1332-nucleotide ribosomal RNA is filed under the name Anadara broughtonii. RNAcentral's name for it is "16S ribosomal RNA". It matches the Rfam family "Bacterial large subunit ribosomal RNA", at positions 566 to 2798 of the family's 2925-position model. The record is from RNAcentral. Lineage: Eukaryota; Metazoa; Mollusca; Bivalvia; Arcoida; Arcidae.
AUGAAAUUAAAUUUUAUAAAGAAUUAGGUUGAUGGUAGUAACCAAAUCUAUAUAGUACUAACGAACAGUAAUAAUAUAUUAUUUAACCGAAAGGGAAUUUUAAUAAAUGGUAAUAGUAUAUAAAAUGUAGUACCUUUUGCAUAAGGGUCUAACAAGAAAAAAGCAUGUUAUUAUAUGUUACCCCGAAGUCGGAAGAGCUACCAAAAUAACCAGCUGAUUUAUAGGCUACAGAGGUCAUAGUAGUAUUAUGUCUUAAGAUUUCUUGGUAGAGGUGAAAUGCCUUUCGAAUUCGACGAUAUCUGGUUGGCUCAGAAAUAAAUUAAGUUUAGGGUUGAUGGGAUUCAAUACUUAAUAUUCUCUGUAGAGCAGUGAAUAGGAAGAACGACGUAAAGGACAAAUAAUUAUGCUGAAGUUUUUGUAGGUCAAAAGCGGUUAUUCUAUUAAGAACGGAUUGGAAGCGCAAUUUCAGUUAAUAAAAAAAAAUUUGUUUAGGAUUGGUCUUAGGGUUUAUGAGCCGGAGUAGCUGAACAAUAUUGCUAUUUUCAUAAUGUUUGGAUUAGUAGCUGGAAUUAUACUCAUUAAUGGAGAAAAAUAAUUUUAUAUAUGAAAAACUAAACUAAGGAACUCGGCAAAAUCUUCCUCCGACUGUUUAUCAAAAACAUAGCGUCUAGAAUGGGAUUAGAGGUGUUGUCUGCCCAGUGGAAACCCUAAACGGCGGCCUUAGCGUGAUGGUCUUAAGGUAGCAUGUAAGUUCCUGAGUAAUUUUCUGGUGGUAUGAAUGGGAGCACGAGGGGAAAACUGUCUCGGUUUAGUUACAGUGAAUUUACCUUGGAGGUGAAAAGGCCUUCAUAGAAUAAAUAGACGAUAAGACCCCAUGAAAUUUUAAUCUUUGUUAUAAGUUGGAAAAUCAUUGACGAAUUUGUUUGGAUUUUGGUUGGGGCAACUCGGGAGUAUUACAAACCUCCUGGAAUGUUUAUAAACUUUCAAGUGUUGAACCUCCUUCAUGCGUGGUUAUCGGAAAAAAUUACUCUGGGGAUAACAGCGUUAUCUUCCCGGAGAGGGCGUAUCGGUGGGAAGGAUUACGACCUCGAUGUUGAAUGUGGCUAUCCUUAGGGCUUGUAAGGGGCAUAAAGGGUUCGGACUGUUCGUCCAUAAAAAGCCAACCUGAUUUGAGUUAAGAACGGCGUGAGCUAGUUCGGUUUCUAUCUUUUAUUACAUUGAUUUUGUCAGUUUUUGUACGAAAGGACUUAAAAGGCAUACAUCGUUGGUGUGGUGUGAAUGCGCUGUAAUAGGAAAGGGUUAUAAAUAAUUUUCUUCAUUUAAAAUUUAUUC